AUUGCAGCAUUGGACUUUUAUUCAAGUUUGUGCCAAGCACAUAUAUAUGAUGUUUCUUCCAGGAAAAUAUUGAAUUGAUUCCUGAGUCUAAAAAAGCUAACCAUGGGUAUUGGCUAGGAAUUCUGGGAGAAAUUUGACCAGAUAAAGGACUCACGUUCUGCUCCUCAGCCCGCGUAAAGGACGUGACAUAAUGUUCAUCUGAAGGGCUGCUAUCCACAGUCAUCGUGACUGACCACUCUAGCAUGAGACCUCAACCGUGACGGGGAGAGAGAGGUUUUUUUGUUCUGAUGAGUCAAACUGGAAGGGCACAUGUCCAGGAGCUCAGUGAGAAACUCCAGGCCCAUGACCGCCCAAAGCCUGAAUGAAUCCAGGCAAGAAAGCAAUCAAGUGCUGGGGAAGAUGAAGAGGUGAUGCUUUGAACUGAACUCCAGAGACCUCGGAAGUUUAUCAUCACGAAGAGACAAAGCGCAUUGUUUUUAAUAAGGACCAGCGCAAACCCUAGCUGUGAUCAGAAUCAUUAGACUUUCUGGAGACAAAGUGGGUGUCUCCCCCGUGCUGAGUUGUGAUUUUCAUGUGCAAAUACAUACUCCAUCA
Long non-coding RNA from Tachyglossus aculeatus (Australian echidna), 594 nucleotides. RefSeq lists it as uncharacterized. Lineage: Eukaryota; Metazoa; Chordata; Mammalia; Monotremata; Tachyglossidae. The record is from RefSeq and is a predicted model, not a curated record. The transcript is spliced from 3 exons.